CUUUAAAUUCAAUGAAUUCAUUAAAAUGGUAAUGUUAUUGGGUAAUUCUUUUAAGAAAUGGCUCACCAAUUAAGUGUAUUCCAGGUCCUCCUACCUUGAACAAAAAAUUGAACAAGACAAGCCAAAAGCAGUGGCAAAACUUUAUUUGAAAAGCGGGUGAGGGAGAAACUGGCUCUGCAGAGCAAACUCGGGCCAAUCAAGAGAGGAAAAAAGAAAAGUGAAAAUAAAAGUACACCCUGGGUCUGGGAGCCUCAGGGUGGAUUACCAUGAAGAGUCAUGGAUAGCAGGCUCCUUAUAUGUCUUCCACAUCUUGUGGGAACCCACAAGAAGUUCUGCAUAUGGGGGCCUGAGAGGCGGUGCUGUGUCGAUCCUGGGUCCUACCAUGCCUCUCUUUCCAGCCAGCCUAAGCCAUGCCCUGUUUCUUAUCUCCUUAACAGAUUAUUUGUCCAAGACACAGAUUUGACGAUUCCACACAUACACACACCUUCUUCAGUGGCUCUCAGUUUCACAUGGAUAAGCUUGAUGUUCGAGCUUUCUUUGAUCUAAAACAAGCCUGCAUUUCCACCAUUCUUUCCAGAGGAAUUCUUGAGCUAAAGUAGGUUUACAGCUUUUCUAGAAGUACCCACACAUUACAUUUACCUAAUCUUGUCUUCUAGAAUGCCUAUUUCCCAGCUUUGCCUCUUGUAGGCCUAUGUAAUCCUGCACUAUUCAAGUCUUAUCUCCCCCACAACAAAUAGCCAGGUCCCUAGACCUUAAUGAACCCCCAUGGCUUCUGUUUUCUCAAUAAACUUUCUUAUUACUUUUAAGGGUCAAUUUCAUUUGAAUGAUUUCACCUGUGACCCUUAGUACAGAAGAUUUGAAAUUUUACCCAUCUUGAUUGAAGACCACCUCCCCAGCAUUUAGAGUAAAGCCUUGUUCACAGCUCCAUGGCUGUUAUUCAGUGACUACCCA
This 951-nucleotide long non-coding RNA is filed under the name Fukomys damarensis (Damara mole-rat). RNAcentral describes it as "lncRNA (ENSFDAG00000030081.1)". The record is from RNAcentral. Lineage: Eukaryota; Metazoa; Chordata; Mammalia; Rodentia; Bathyergidae.